RNAcentral lists this ribosomal RNA (429 nucleotides) under bacterium. RNAcentral describes it as "partial 16S ribosomal RNA". It matches the Rfam family "Bacterial small subunit ribosomal RNA", at positions 355 to 776 of the family's 1533-position model. The record is from RNAcentral.
UGGGGAAUAUUGGACAAUGGGCGAAAGCCUGAUCCAGCCAUGCCGCGUGUGUGAAGAAGGUCUUCGGAUUGUAAAGCACUUUAAGUUGGGAGGAAGGGUUGUAGAUUAAUACUCUGCAAUUUUGACGUUACCGACAGAAUAAGCACCGGCUAACUCUGUGCCAGCAGCCGCGGUAAUACAGAGGGUGCAAGCGUUAAUCGGAAUUACUGGGCGUAAAGCGCGCGUAGGUGGUUUGUUAAGUUGGAUGUGAAAUCCCCGGGCUCAAACUGGGAACUGCAAUCAAAACUGACUGACUAGAGUAUGGUAGAGGGUGGGGGAAUUUCCUGUGUAGGGGUGAAAUGCGUAGAUAUAGGAAGGAACACCAGUGGCGAAGGCGACCACCUGGACUAAUACUGACACUGAGGUGCGAAAGCGUGGGGAGCAAACAGG